Molecule: ribosomal RNA, 676 nt
Filed under: Weissella sp. B 234
Lineage: Bacteria; Bacillati; Bacillota; Bacilli; Lactobacillales; Lactobacillaceae
Description: bacterial SSU rRNA
Rfam family: Bacterial small subunit ribosomal RNA
Source: RNAcentral
GGGAACUGUGGCACUGAUUUGAGAGCUUGCUCAGAUAUGACGAUGGACAUUGCAAAGAGUGGCGAACGGGUGAGUAACACGUGGGAAACCUACCUCUUAGCAGGGGAUAACACUUGGAAACAAGUGCUAAUACCGUAUAACACUAAUAACCGCAUGGUUAUUAGUUAAAAGAUGGUCUUGCUAUCACUAAGAGAUGGUCCCGCGGUGUAUUAGCUAGUUGGUAAGGUAAUGGCUUACCAAGGCAAUGAUACAUAGCCGAGUUGAGAGACUGAUCGGCCACAAUGGGACUGAGACACGGCCCAUACUCCUACGGGAGGCAGCAGUAGGGAAUCUUCCACAAUGGACGAAAGUCUGAUGGAGCAACGCCGCGUGUGUGAUGAAGGGUUUCGGCUCGUAAAACACUGUUGUAAGAGAAGAAUGACAUUGAGAGUAACUGUUCAGUGUGUGACGGUAUCUUACCAGAAAGGAACGGCUAAAUACGUGCCAGCAGCCGCGGUAAUACGUAUGUUCCAAGCGUUAUCCGGAUUUAUUGGGCGUAAAGCGAGCGCAGACGGUUAUUUAAGUCCGAAGUGAAAGCCCACAGCUUAACUGUGGAAGUGCUUUGGAAACUGGAUAACUUGAGUGCAGUAGAGGAGAGUGGAACUCCAUGUGUAGCGGUGAAUGGCCGUAGAUAAAA